RNAcentral lists this long non-coding RNA (10831 nucleotides) under Lynx pardinus (Iberian lynx). Lineage: Eukaryota; Metazoa; Chordata; Mammalia; Carnivora; Felidae. The record is from RNAcentral.
AACUUUGCCAAACCUGCGGGUGGCCGCCGUCCAGCGCCCCCGGGCCGCGGGGAGAGCGGGCGCGGCCCCGGGGCGGCGUGGAGAAGGGCGGGGCGAGAGCGCCGGACGCCUGCCCCCCGGGACGGGCACUGGACGAAGCGGGAGGAGAAAGGCAAGACUAGCCGCUCGGGUGAGGACGAGAGGAUAGAGGGCGAGACGCUUGUUCUUCUGGAUCGGUGGGUGGCUGAUCCCUCGGGUGCGGAUAGUGGGCACUGAGGUGGGGAAGGGGUUAAAAGGGAGCUUGGAGUUCGACCCGUGGUCACUGUUCAGAGCCCUAUGCGCUUUCGGUUUUCCUGGCACUGGUGUUACCCUUCCCCUAAACCUAGAGGACGUGUUUACUUUUCCCUCGCUUUCAGCCUGCCUCCGAUUCACCGGACUGAAUGUUGUGCCCUAGGCGCUGUGUACCUGGGGCGGCAUCAGAUCUUCACGUUUAGACUAGAUUUUCACGUUACUUCGGCAGAGUCCCUUCAGUUUCCGCUCUUACCGUUUGUGGAGUCAAGGUGGGGGCGAGUGUUGGAGCGCCAGGUUUUGAUUGGGACAAAAGAUAAGGUUUCUGCCUUGCGGAGAAGUUUACCAGGCUUCCCCCAUAACUGGGUUAUCCAAAUACAGCAUCUGCGCUUGUGGUUGAACGCUCGUGCUCCUCUCCGGGAGGCUGGCUCCCGCACCCGAGCUGCGCACGCUCUGGCUGGGGCGCUUGGCUGGAGGGUGCAGAGGCUUCCCAGGGAGCCGUCAGAUCUCAGAGGUUUGGACGGGCUCGUACCUUGAAGCAAUUAAAGCUUCUGUUCCAUCAGAUAAGUGCUGCGUCGUCUCUUGCGAGUGAAAUCUGAGGGCUCACAAUGUUAAUGGGCUCACGUCUUUCCCUUGAUAAUACGGUUUUGUUUACUGAGCGUGGAGAGACGGGAAAUAAAAGUGCAACUGGCACAGGAAAUGAAGACUAGAAAGGUUACAAAGACCGGCUUUACAUGGACAAACUUUUCAACUUCCUUGAACAUUUCUUUGGGGCUGCAGGAAAAUAGCAAAACUAUAUAAAUAAAUGUUAUUUACACACAGCAGUCAUGAGAGAGGGUGGCUUCCUAAAACUGUGUGAAUACGGUCUACUCUUGACUUAUUCAAGUGCCCUUGAGAAUUUGAUCUAUUAUAGCCUCUUAGUUAUGGUGACGGAGGUUUUAUUAUUGUUUCACUGAUCCACUUGUCAUGCAAGAGCGAUUGAGCCCUUGCCUAAAAUUCCACUCUGAGGAAGCCAGGAAAAUAGGAGCCAUCACAGUCCGGGGAGCCAGUUCCUUACAGGGAUGUGAACCUGUGAAUAAACAGAGCCACACCGGAAGUGUUACCCUGGUGAGGCUGAAGUUAAGCCAAGGUGGGGAGGGGGGAGGUGGAGGGUACCCAGCUAGGAGUGAGCACAAAGCUAAUAGUUCUGGUGUUGCGGCACUGCUGGAGUUCUGGGAUUUGGUUGGGAAAUGGAAUCCUGUGCUGAAGAUGGCCCUUCAAACUUGAUGUUGCUACUUCAGUCUUUUCCUUUAGCCAAUCAGAUGACAAAAGUCCUAAAUAGUUCUUUGAAAGAGAAAAAUAGAGUCUCUUUUCUAGCUCUCUGGACAGGGAAUGGUAGAGCUCUUCAGACCUAGCUGAGACUUAUAUGAAGAAACAUUUUUUUGCUGUCCCCAACUCUGAUGGCCAUACAAAAAUAUCAGCGACCCAGAUGCUGCUGAGUUCACAUAACACCUCAUGCACCCCUGGCUAGACUUUAAGAGCCAGUUUUUACCAGGAUAGUGACCUAGCAUGCACACCUCUGUCUAAAUCAGUCUUUCUCUCGAAAGGUUUUCGGUUAAUCACAACUCCUAGGCCCAGAAGCCCCAGCAGGUCAAGAAGGAAGAUGGCCUUCUAAACCUCUCUGGAGAAGGCAUCCUGCAGGCUGCAACUCAGGAUGUAGGACAGAAAACUAAGCCUAAUUGCCCGGCAGAUCUGACCAAAACCUAUCACACUAAGGGCCUUUGCUCUAAGGUUUCAGGGAAAACAGGCAGCCUAGGUGCCUUGGCAAACUUCAUUGCAACAGAGACCAGGCUUCUGCUGCUAAGCACUUGGGGCAAAGGUUGGGUCCUUCCUGUCACAAUUAAGCAUUGACUUUGAUCCACCCGUGAGCUGUCUACACUGUUUCUCUGAAGCAAAAUUUUGGAGAUUGAACUUUCGCUGGUGGAAGAAAAUGUCCUAAAAGAGAAUGAGAUUUUUUUCUUAAAAUUGUAUUGUUUUGUUUUCAGAACUAUGAGUGAGAGUUGCCGGGAGGAGGGUGUUCAAUAUUCGUUCAGACCCAAUUGCAGUUCAAUGAUCAUUGCGUACAGAGAGCUACAUUCUGUUCGUCCUUCUCUCUACUCCCUUUAACCUCUCAGGCUUUGGCAUAUCCUACACCUUGGGCCAAGAGCUGCCAUCUCAACUCCUGGACUGGUCCUUGACUUAUUCAUAUUGGAGCCGAGACUCUGGUCAUCUCAGACUCAGAUUCAUCAUUUCCCAAGGACCUACUGUGUAAGAACAUUUUGUUAGGGGAGGUCUAGGCUGCACAAAAAAAGAUACUCUCAAACCAAAGGAACAAGGGAUUCAUUUCUGGCACAGGUCUCGACUAUGCUAUAAAUCUACUCCAGAAGAAUGUGAAUCUAUAGUUCUCUAAGGAGAGAUUGGAAGAUAUUAUUGGAGGAGCUAUAUGCAGAAAGAUGUGAACAUAGGAUAUUUUGAGUAACUUUAAAGUUUGUCUCCUAGAUGUUCACAGAGUAUGGGAGAAAUGUCUUACUAAUUUUAUUGCUUGUUCAAGUCAUGAAUUCCCAAGGGUCACUUGCCCUGCCAGGUCCGGGUGCUGUGAGUUCUCAGCAGGAGGUGACAGCAGAGGGGCCUGAUUGCCAGGUUGUGUUUGAUGUAGGAAUGCUUUGAAAUCUCUCCCAUACUGCUAACCAGGGCAGCCACCCUGAAACCCCACCCCCCAUGACAACCUUUGUCUCUCAUUCAAACAACAAACUUUUUUUUCUCCUGCAGACAGAAGACAGAAGUGAGGGAGGGUGACACUCUGGUCUUCUGUAUGUUUACAGUUGUUCCUAAGAAGCCUCUUGCAACCCCUCUCCACGAGCCUCUUCAUGUUACCCCUUGGAGACGCUUUGAGCACAUGCAGACUUUUGGCUCCACAGCCCCAAAGGGUAGAAGGGCUCUUGCUUGUUGGGGUGAAAAGUGGAGGGGGGGGAAUGGGGGGUGGAUUCUGGGCUUUUCUCUCAAGCAAGAUUUGUAGUUCUCUGCAGAAGCCUUCAGUCAUCCCAUGAUGGAAGUGGGGGUGAAGGACAGGAAUUCUAAACCUAUCAGAAGCCUGAUAACAGGACCCUCCUUGAGGAAAACAGUUUGGAGUGCUGUGCCUUUCCCUGAGAGCUUUGUGAAUGAAAGGCUCAUGGGUCAAGCCCUUGCCUGGCACACAGUAAACAUACAAGAAAUGUUUGUUGGACAGAAAUAAAAAUGGACAGAAUGGUGUGUUUUUACCAUGACUAAUAUCGGAUAAAAGAUAUCUUUAGAUAACGGCUCCCAAAACCAAUUCAUGUGGGUGGAAAUCAGCAUAGAAGCUUCUUUAAAAGUGCAGGUUCCUGAGCCCACCCAAGAGAUUUUUAUCUACUAUGCCUGACUCCAGUAGGAGUUGUGAUAAGCCUCUUGAGUGAUUCUCAAGCAGGGUUCUUGGGAACCAUAUUUUGAGAAUUUCUGCCUCUCAGAAAUUGAGGUGGGCAAUGUGGGAAGAGAGGGGUAAUUCGGUGGGAGGGGCCCUUGGCUAGCAUCAUGAGAGCUCAUGGCUAGCGGGAACAUUAUACCUGAACAGUGCCCAGAAGCCUCUUGGGUGGUAGGGGCAGAGAAUGUGAAAUGGCUCUCACAUUUUGGUUUGGCAGCCUAAGUCUAGUUGGGGUGAAGUUUUAUAAAAUAUCCUUAAGUAGUAGUCAGUAGAACUUUCCCAAGUUUUGCUGAUAAAAUAGUGCUUUGCAGAGACCUGGCUUCCGCUCCUUGUCACCUUCCUAACUUGGCUUUAGGGAUGCCAGUAAGGUAGGAAGUGAAAGGCGUUUGUCUCUCCCAGUCUCUUUAGAGAAAAUGUAGAGUAGUUCUGAGGUAAUGGAAAGAAGGAAGGAGGAGUAGGAAUAGGAGUCUCAAGAGGGCGGAGCCAACUCUUCUUUCCUUCCACCUCUCCCAAAUUGUCUGGAAUGAACAUCUGAGCUCCGGGGAGCCAGAGGGAAUGAAAUGUCCCUUGGCCUAAGCUGUAACUCUUCCUUUGAUUAAAGAUCAAGAUGUCAUAAAAUGUCAGUGCAAGAAGGCCCCUUAGAGAUGAGUGACAUUGAACCCCUCAUUUCAGAGAGGAAGUAACUUUACUCAGUGGUUAAAAGACAAAACUAUCGGGGUACCUGGGUGGCUCAGUCGGCUGGGCAUCCGACUUUGGCUCAGGACAUGAUCUUGCAGUCUGUGAGUUCAAGCCCCGCAUCGGUCUCUGUGCUGACAGCUCAGAGCCUGAAACCUGCUUUGGAUUCUGUCUCCCUUGCUCUCUGCCCCUCCCCCACUCCUGCUCUGUCUCUCUCUCUCUCUCAAAAAUAAAUAAACAUUAAAAAAAAAAAAGACAAAACUACCCUGCAAAAAAUGAGGGAACUAACUUGGGUCUCCCGACUGUCUACAGUCUGCUGCCUGUCCACAGUGUACGAAGAGGAAAGAGUAAAACAGCCCCUCCUUUGCACUGUGGCAGGGUCAAUGCUGAGCAAGCAGAGCAGUGUUGAAGGAGACACCCUUGUUUCUGGGAGGCCACACAGGCAGUGUGACUGCCUGGGAGGCUUGCUGGCCUCCCUUUGCAACUUGCUGAACUGGUGCUCCAGACUUCUGAGGCCCAACCUUGAGCUACUCCUAGAGAAGGCAGAGAUGGAUCUGGGUCCCCACCCCCUCCACCACGCAAGGGUUAAGGAUCCCCUCAUUUCCUGCUGAGCUUGACCCCUGGGGGAUCAAAACCAGAGGUGUCUUUCCAUUAAUGUAACUGGAUAGUACAAAUUUAGGACCGUGUGAACACAGGUAUAUCCAGGUCGGUUACACUUGUACUAAUCUUUUUCUCCUUUAUUUUUUAAAUAGGGUAUACAUUGAAAUUUACAUGGUUCAAGAUUCAAAGGGUACACAGUGGUAUGCAGUGAGCAUCUUUCUCCCAUCACCUAGUUCUCCUUCAACAUAGGCACCAGUUAAGAGUUUCUUACAUGUCUUUCCAGAGAUACCUUAUACGUUUCUAUCUAUCUAUAAAUCCCCCCACGUUUUUUUUUUGGGGGGUUUUUUUUUUUUUUGGUUUUUUUGCUUAAAUGAUGGUGUACCAGACAGACUCUCUCGCACCAUGUUUUUUCCCCUGUUGUAUCUUGAAGAUCAUUUCCUAUAAAUGCAUACAGAACUUCCUGGCUUAUUUUUACAACUUCAUGCUGUUCUGCUGUACACACCUACCACAAUUUAUUUAACUAAUCCCCUAUUAAUGGAUAUUUCGCUUAUUAUUCAUUGUUUUCCCAUUACAAACACAUGUUCAAGUUUUUAACCUAUUAGAAAAAUCCCCAGACAUGGAAUUACUUAGUCAAAAGUAUGUGCACUGGCAAUCUUGACGCAGAUUGCCAUAUUGCUCUCCUUAGAUGUGAAUCACUUUAUGCUUCUGCCAGCAACAUAUGAGAAUUCCUGUUACCUCAUACCCGUGCCAAGUCAGUGGGAUAGUAAAAGUUUUUAUUUUUGCCAGUCUGAUAAAUAAAGAAUAAUACCUUUUACUUAUCCUUAUAGCAUCUCCAAAAAUGCCAUUCUUUUUUUAUCUUGUUUGAUCCUUUCAUAAUUCUAGUUUACAAAUAGUAAUGGCGACACAGAAAAGAUAAACUGUUGGUCGUUAUCCCACCCAAUGUAAAUGGCCAAGGUCAGACGUUCAGCACUCUUUCCUGUACUGCCCUGUGCCCCGAGGAAGCCUAAGGAGAUUCAGAGAGAGUGGGUGGCUUCAAGCAUUCCCCGAAAGACACAUGAUAUAAAAAAGCUUUCCGACAUCUGCUAAGAGGCCUCCUCCUUAGUGGUCUGAUACCAAGACCACAUUUCUGCAUGUGUCCCUGGAGAGUACCCUCCGGAAGCAGAGGAGUUCUAAUUAGCAAUAUGAUCUGACCUAGUCCUAAGCAUUAGCCUGUGUUCAAUAUCUGGGAAGCAGUAGGUGUUGUUUUUAAUUUUCCUGAGACUUAUUUCUCACUGGACAUCCAGGAUCUAAGUUAUUGAUCAGCAUGGUGUGGGUAAGAGGAUGUUUUCCCUCGGUUUUAGCUUUGCCUGUGAUUCUCAUUUAGACCUGGUGAAGAUACCUGGUGAAGAUAACACACACACACACACACACACACACACACACACACACACACACACACGCAACUUUACUGAUAAACUUAUGAGGUAGAUAUCUAUUGACUGUUUCACUGAAGAUGAAACUGAAGGCCAGAAAGAUUAAGUGUAUUGUUUAGGGUCAUACAAUGUAUCAGCAAAACAGAAAAUACAGUGUAGACCUAAAACAGAAGUCCUUAGUUUCCCCCUGCAAAAUCUUCUUUUUCCCCUUCCUGUAUUCAUUUUGGUGAAUGACCUGGCUACCCAAUCAGGGCCUCUAAAUAGAAGCCUAGGGAUUAACAUCCAUAACUCCUCUUUCACUUGUCCAACUGUCAGCAAGUCCUGUGAAUUUGUCCUCCUAAAUGUCUUCCCUCUUCAUCCUCGUUACCUUAGUUCCUCCCUAGGCUGGAUUAUUGCAGCAGCUUCCCCUUCUUCUUUCCUUCUUGCCUCCUAUCCCUCCUCCAGUCAGACACAGCAUCCCUCCCAAAGAGCAAGCUUUCCAAAUAGAUAACGUCAUGUCCCAGUUUAAAAACUUCAGUGGCUUCUCACUGCCUGCAGAUUAAUUCCAGACUCCUUUCCACGGACCUCAUACAACCUCUUUUGCCAGCCAGAUACUCUACUCCAAACUCUCUUUGUUCCAGGUCUAGACCUUGUUCUUUCUUCCCUCCCUGCUUGCGUGUGCUGCUCUUUCCACCGAGUAUGUCCUUCCUUCCUAGACCUAAAAAGCUCAUACUUCAGGAAUCAAAAUUCACCUCCUCUGAGAAGCCUUUUCUGACACUACACUUGUGUUAGUGGCUCCUUCUCUUUAUUCCAGGAACCUUUAGGCCAUACUUCUGUUCUAGCGUCUGUCACAGUUUUAGGAUUCUUUUUCUUCCCCAGUAGAUCAAAAGGCAUACACUAUUAGUGACCCAUUUUUAGAUCUCAAAGCCCAACACAGUGCACACAGGAGCUGUUCAGCAGGUAUUGCUGAAAGGCAAGGAGAGAGAGAGACUCUGACCCAAGGACAAGAGGACCAGUAUUUUAAUUGCUUAAAGAAUUCAGGACACUGUGCAAGACUUAAUGCUACAGCUUCUAUCUAUCUAAAGUAAAAUGAUAGUAGAACAUCUCUCCAAAGCAAGUUAAUUUCCACCUGAGAGGAUGCUGAGAGAGAAGACAGGGAGGGAGGAGCUGGGAUUUUGUCUUUCAGGGGCUCUUCCUAUAGGCUAAGGCAACAACUUUUAACUAACGUCAGAAAUUUCUCAGCUGAUGUCACUCAAAAAGAGGGUAAAAGGGGGGGUAGCCUGAAACUUUCUUAGAACUUACCGAGGACUACAAGCACCACCGUAAGAACGCUUCACCACCCACUUUACCCAUGACCUCCUGCUGCAAACAGCUCUAAUGCUAAUGACCUCCUUCUCUCUCCCUCCACCAACGCUCACAGUUUUCAGUCUAUCCCUUUCUGGUAUUUCUAAAAUGAACCCCAAAAGAGCUGAAGUAAAAAUACUCCAGUCCUUCCUUCACACUUGAAAAGAGAGAGGCAUAUCAUUAUGGUUGGCAUUUUACGUAUAUUUUAAUUGUUCUUUUUAUAUGGCAUUCAGGUUUAGUUCCAAGUUUAACAGGGAUACCCUUGCUUCCUUCCAAAUAAAUUACUCCUGCAGGUAAAUAAGAGAACUAAACUAGCUCUGCCCCAUCCCUGAAUUCUAGUCCCCUGGGAAUCUUUUUUUUUUUUUUUUUUUUUAAGACUCUUACAUAGUGUCUGCGAAACCUGGGAUUUUCCUCUUCCCUUUCCAGGGGUACAGCUGCGCUAAGGGUGUGACGGGGGGCGGGGAGCAGGGGGGGGCAGGGUAUACAGUCUCCGUGCGUCUGGGGCGGGCGCGGGGGCCGCCCCUUAGGAGAGCCGUGGGCUGCAAGGGGUCCGGAGGCGGGGCCGGCAGGCGGCCGGGAGUACCGGGAGUGGGGGGGGGGGGGUGUCCGGCCUCGCGCCGCAGAGCUUGGGGCAGCGGGUCGCGCCCUCCGUGAGCGCUCACCCCGGGUGCCUGUGUCUCCUCUGCUUGCGGUUUCUGGUCGGCUCCCAGCUGGCCCAGACUUGCUCUGAAGUAGGAGGAACCGCUGUCGAGUGAAGAGUGCACACCGGGUGAUUGAUGAAUUCUUAAUAGGACUAACCUCUCCCGCCACCACCCCCCCCCGACCCUCGACACACACUGAGAAAUCCUUCACCCAAGCCCCCCCCCGCCCCCCCCCUCCCCAGGCCUCGUCGCCGGCGAGAGGGGACGCGGCCGCCAGCCGGUUGGGUGAUUAACUCACCGUUUGUCUUUCGGAAAGUGUGCCAGGUGGAUUGAGGCAGCCUGGCCGCUCCGGCUCUCUGCUGACUGCGCCGGGCUGCAGGCCGGAGAGCGCGGAACGAGCGCGCGCGUCACAUGGUGGCGCGGCCCGGAGCCGGCCUUUGUGCCGCGCGACCGCCCGGCCGCCCCGGGGAGGCGGCGGCUAUUGUUCCCCGCGGGGGAGGGAGGUGCUCAGACUCGGGGUCCACGCCAGCCUCCUCCCCAGAGUGUCCCCACAUCUGAGGACGGGUGGGGGCUUCCUUUGUGUGUUUUGGGCCUGCGACGGGAAUGGCGCGCCGUUGCCGCCCCAAGGGGCCGCAGAAGGGGCCGAGAGGUUGGUGCCAGCGCUGUCGCUACUUCGAGCUCGGCCCAACCGACCGACCCAGUUUCCCGCUCUGCCCUUGCGGAAGAGACGGGGAGGGAUGUGGUAUUUGUAGGGCAUGCGCUUGGAACAAUAGAGCCAUCAAAAGGCCUUCUCCCUGGUCUCCUCCCAAGGCAGCUAGGCUCUUCUCCCCUCUUUCGGAAAGGCCGUGGCCCAACAGGUCCUCUUGGCCUGAUUUUAGGCCUGCUUUCCCAGUAAAAACACUUCAUCUGUUCUCCACAAAUCCUAAUUUAAAGUCUCCUCCUUGGACUCUUACUGAUGUAAACAUCCCAUUUUCAUUAUUUUCCAGAUAUUAUUCUUCCAUAAAUUGAUCCAGACUACCAUAGGAACCAGUCAAGAUAUUUUGCCACAGGAUCUAGGACAAGAGGAUUUACCUACUAUUGCCCACCUUGCAAAUCUCCUAGGGACCUUUCACCUGCUUCUGCUACUGCAAAUGAUUGGACAUCCAUUUACAUUUCCUCUUCUUCAUGUGUGGAAGGAAACUUUUGUUCACUGUGCUUCAGGCUGCCCCUGGCCUGAAAGUGGGUCCUUGAAUUCCCCUUGUACCAUUCCAACUUGCCAAGGUGGUUAUGAGACCUGAGGGAGGUGUUUAGGCGUGGACUUUGGGCCAGGUGUGUAAAUCCAUUUGGUACCAACUUUGGGCCCCAAGGAUAAGGGCAUGUGUAGCUGCACCAGAAGAGAGGGGAACAGUGAAAACUAAAAUUUCACCCUCUGUGAUGAUCUUCACCACCACCAGUACCAACAAUGUUGUAAGUACAGAGGAUUCACCUACCCAGUCGUUUUUCCUCUCCAUCCGGGCCCUCUGCAAGAGUGAGCCAGUGCUCAGAGAUGGUGGAGGGUAUGGCUGGUGACUCAGUCUCAACUGUGUCUCAACUGUGUCCAAAGUGUCUAGGGAGAAGUCUGCUCACCGGUAGCUAUAUCCUCUCUGGGAAGGCACAGUGCCCUAAAGUGGUGAGGCUGUAGGCCUGUGGGAACUGGGGCCUCCUGCCCCUCUUUUUAUUUUUAUUUAAUACUCACAAACUUCUCUUCAUUCCCCCCCUUUUUUUCCCUUACAGUUUCUGAAAGAAGGACGGAAGUAACACCAAGAACUCCCAGAUGAAGAGGACCUUCCUGGAUCUGUAACUGGGAUUAACCAGUUCUUUACUGGGAGAGAAAGUUUCAACUAAUCCUCAGGAUAAAAGCAAACAGGCCUGUGACUGUCCCUUGAACACUGACAGUGUAAACAAGCUUCUGGCUCCUCCAGGUCAAGCAGAGCAACACUUUUCAUUAGAAUGUUGGGUUUCUUCUUUGUUAUUCAAACAUACACCCACACACAUCCCCUUGUCCCUCCCUAAUGAACAAACCUCAACAGAUGGAGAGCCUAGGCUCCCAAGACUUAUGACUGAGAAGAUGCACUUCACUCAAGGUGGGUUGGCUUGUACAGAAUGGGGGAGAGAGAAGAAAUGGGAAGCUAGUAUAGGUAAUUACUCCUCUUUUAAUACUCCUUACAGAUAGAAAUCCAAAAAAUCCUGUUCCGCAAGGUUAGCAGCCUCUGGGGCCUGGGAAACCGAUUUGGCUGAUGUGUCUGUGAUAGGGACUAGGCUUGGGGCUGCACCAGGGGGAAAGUACUCACUCUAUAUUCUAUCAUUCUCUCUCAUUUGAAAGCCUGUACAAAGAAAUGGUACAAAUGGAUGGUUAACUUAAUGAUUGCAUCAGAGGCGGAUUUUUCUCUGUCAGGACCCAGGAUGAGGCUGAGGUCUGAAAGCCAGGAGGCAGAACAUUU